Cinara cedri is the source of this 645-nucleotide non-coding RNA. The record is from the annotation of a GenBank genome assembly. Lineage: Eukaryota; Metazoa; Arthropoda; Insecta; Hemiptera; Aphididae.
ACGAUUGGUCGGUUCGAAUUUACCGCGUUCACGUUCUAUCGCGAACGUUCAAAGACGUGCCAUAUUCUCAGAGGUUAGACACUCUAUAAACUACCGUUUCAAAUAAAUGGGUGACCACGAGUCUCUAACACUCGGUAAAUGUAUUCCGAAAUGACAUAAUUUGUCCGCAACCAAUAGCCACUCGUUUUGGUAUCAAUAUACUGUAAUUACGGACAUUUUCAUAAAUCGAUAAACCAAACGUAUAAAGUUGAUUAACGAAACCGUUUCCUUAGGACCAUAUUUCCGAUCACAGGUCAAUAAUCGAAAAUCAAUUAGCUAACCCUAUAUCUAUUCUAUAUUGUUUGUUGAUAUUGUUGCUGUUGUCAUUAUAGUGGUUUAUAGUAAAUUGAUACUUUGUCUCGGAUUAAUUGGCCACUUUCGUUCGCUCAUGUCAAAAAUAACUUUCCAUUCAUUGUGCAAAACUCAUUUGUGCGUUUCCUAACGACGUGUUCUGUGACCGUCCUGGUAUCAAACCCGAGACAAUAUUGGUCGUAUGCGAAUACUGGUGUCAGCCCACUGCAGAAACAUGUUUCGUAUAGAUUUAUUGAUAUCUUGUAAGAAUAAGCAGAACAUUAUAACACGACAUUUCUGCACGCAGAUUCGAAC